UACGUAGGGUGCGAGCGUUGUCCGGAAUUAUUGGGCGUAAAGAGCUUGUAGGCGGUUUGUCGCGUCUGCUGUGAAAAUCCGGGGCUCAACUCCGGACUUGCAGUGGGUACGGGCAGGCUAGAGUGUGGUAGGGGAGACUGGAAUUCCUGGUGUAGCGGUGGAAUGCGCAGAUAUCAGGAGGAACACCGAUGGCGAAGGCAGGUCUCUGGGCCGAUACUGACGCUGAGGAGCGAAAGCGUGGGGAGCAAACAGG
Molecule: ribosomal RNA, 253 nt
Filed under: uncultured bacterium
Lineage: Bacteria
Description: partial 16S ribosomal RNA
Rfam family: Bacterial small subunit ribosomal RNA
Source: RNAcentral